This 525-nucleotide ribosomal RNA is filed under the name uncultured bacterium. RNAcentral describes it as "bacterial SSU rRNA". It matches the Rfam family "Bacterial small subunit ribosomal RNA", at positions 984 to 1509 of the family's 1533-position model. The record is from RNAcentral.
ACAUCCAGAGAACUUUCCAGAGAUGGAUUGGUGCCUUCGGGAACUCUGAGACAGGUGCUGCAUGGCUGUCGUCAGCUCGUGUUGUGAAAUGUUGGGUUAAGUCCCGCAACGAGCGCAACCCUUAUCCUUUGUUGCCAGCGGUUAGGCCGGGAACUCAAAGGAGACUGCCAGUGAUAAACUGGAGGAAGGUGGGGAUGACGUCAAGUCAUCAUGGCCCUUACGAGUAGGGCUACACACGUGCUACAAUGGCGCAUACAAAGAGAAGCGACCUCGCGAGAGCAAGCGGACCUCAUAAAGUGCGUCGUAGUCCGGAUUGGAGUCUGCAACUCGACUCCAUGAAGUCGGAAUCGCUAGUAAUCGUGGAUCAGAAUGCCACGGUGAAUACGUUCCCGGGCCUUGUACACACCGCCCGUCACACCAUGGGAGUGGGUUGCAAAAGAAGUAGGUAGCUUAACCUUCGGGAGGGCGUUUACCACUUUGUGAUUCAUGACUGGGGUGAAGUCGUAACAAGGUAAGCGUAGUGCU